GGGGGAAGAAGGCUCUUGGGUUGUAAACCCCUUUUCUCUGGGAAGAAAGUUGUGAAAGCAGCCUGACGGUACCAGAGGAAUCAGCAUCGGCUAACUCCGUGCCAGCAGCCGCGGUAAGACGGAGGAUGCAAGCGUUAUCCGGAAUGAUUGGGCGUAAAGCGUCCGCAGGUGGCAGUUCAAGUCUGCUGUCAAAGACCGGGGCUCAACCUCGGAAAGGCAGUGGAAACUGAACAGCUAGAGUAUGGUAGGGGCAAAGGGAAUUCCUGGUGUAGCGGUGAAAUGCGUAGAGAUCAGGAAGAACAUCGGUGGCGAAGGCGCUCUGCUGGACCAUAA
This 333-nucleotide ribosomal RNA is filed under the name uncultured cyanobacterium. RNAcentral's name for it is "bacterial SSU rRNA". It matches the Rfam family "Bacterial small subunit ribosomal RNA", at positions 403 to 739 of the family's 1533-position model. The record is from RNAcentral. Lineage: Bacteria; Bacillati; Cyanobacteriota.